AUACUCUGGUUUCUCUUCAGAUCGUAUAAAUCUUUCGCCUUUUACUAAAGAUUUCCGUGGAGAGGAACAUUUAUGAGUUUUCUGUUUCAAAUGUUACCGAUUUUGAAAAAUG
Small nuclear RNA from Crotalus tigris (Tiger rattlesnake), 112 nucleotides. RefSeq annotates it as U5 spliceosomal RNA. The transcript has a single exon. Lineage: Eukaryota; Metazoa; Chordata; Lepidosauria; Squamata; Viperidae. The record is from RefSeq and is a predicted model, not a curated record.